CCAUAGUUUUAAUGAUAUAACAUCUGUUUUACAUGCAGAAGGUCCCUGGUUCAAUCUCAAAAUCUCCAGGAAGGGCUGGG
Molecule: non-coding RNA, 80 nt
Organism: Podarcis lilfordi (Lilford's wall lizard)
Lineage: Eukaryota; Metazoa; Chordata; Lepidosauria; Squamata; Lacertidae
Source: the annotation of a GenBank genome assembly